This 253-nucleotide ribosomal RNA is filed under the name uncultured bacterium. RNAcentral describes it as "partial 16S ribosomal RNA". It matches the Rfam family "Bacterial small subunit ribosomal RNA", at positions 524 to 776 of the family's 1533-position model. The record is from RNAcentral.
UACAAAGGUGGCGAGCGUUACUCGGAUUCAUUGGGUGUAAAGGGCAGGUAAACGAUCAUACAAGUUGAGGGUGAAAUCCUUUGGCUCAACCAAAGAACUGCCUUCAAUACUGUAUGGCUUGAGACCAAGAGAGGAGAGCGGAAUUCCCGGUGUAAGGGUGAAAUCUGUAGAUAUCGGGAGGAACAUCAGUGACGAAAGCGGCUCUCUAGCCUGGUUCUGACGCUGAGCUGCGAAAGCUAGGGGAGCAAACAGG